CCUACGGGCGGCAGCAGUGGGGAAUAUUGGGCCAUGGGCGCAAGCCUGACCCAGCAACGCAGCGUGAAGGAAGAAGGCUUUCGGGUUGUAAACUUCUUUUCUGAGGGACGAAGAAAGUGACGGUACCUCAGGACUAAGCGACGGCUAUCUACGUGCCAGCAGCCGCGGUAAUACGUAGGGGGCGAGCGUUGUCCGGAAUCACUGGGCGGAAAGGGCGCGUUGGCGGUAAUAUAAGUCAGAUGUGAAAGGUGGGGGCUCAACCCCGAGAGUGCAACUGAUAAUGUAUAACGUGAGUGUGGUAGAGGGAAGCGGAAGUCCUAGUGUAGCGGUGAAAUGCAUAGAUAUUAGGAGGAACACCAGUGGCGAAGGCGGCUUUCUGGCUCAUAACUGACGCUGAGGCGCGAAAGCGUGGGGAGCAAACAGGAUUAGAUACCCCUGUAGUC
RNAcentral lists this ribosomal RNA (443 nucleotides) under uncultured bacterium. Its description in RNAcentral is "partial 16S ribosomal RNA". It matches the Rfam family "Bacterial small subunit ribosomal RNA", at positions 338 to 795 of the family's 1533-position model. The record is from RNAcentral.